Perca flavescens (yellow perch) is the source of this 898-nucleotide long non-coding RNA. RefSeq lists it as uncharacterized. The transcript has 3 exons. The record is from RefSeq and is a predicted model, not a curated record. Lineage: Eukaryota; Metazoa; Chordata; Actinopteri; Perciformes; Percidae.
UAGUGACACGCUUUCAACUUACUACCAAAAUCGAAAUUGUUUUACAUUAUUUCAAUUGUUCACAUUUAAGGAAAACACCCAUCGAGAUUUAGCAACGUUUGUGUUUAGAAUGAUGCUGCUUUGCACUGGGAUCUUCAGCUGUUCACCUUAUUACUCUCGCUAAGACCUACACAGAAGCAAAGACCUAUUGCAGAGAGAUCUACACUGAUUUAGCUACAGUUCACAGCUCCACAGAUAUGGAUAAUUUGAUAACUUUAGUUCCAAGUACCAUUCCCAGAGCCUGGAUAGGUCUGGAGGCUGGAGAUGAGUGGAUGUGGCAUUGGUCCUGGCCUGAUUAAAUACUGGAUUUUCACCAGUAAAGAAUAAAGAUGUAUAUGCAGCAAUGGAUCAACACAGCAAGUGGAUUGAAAGUGACUAUGGAACUAAGAGAAGUUGUGUUUGUCAUGGAAACCUGAAAAAUAAGACAUGGAUUGAAGCUUUGAGUUACUGCAGGGAGCACCAUUUUGACCUUGUCCACAUUACCACCACAGACAUUCAAGGGAAGGUGGCUGAAAUGGCAAAGAACACCACAUCAUCCCAUGUUUGGCUAGGUCUACGGUAUACUUGUAAAUUUAACUUUUGGUUCUGGACUAAGUCAACUCCUGGCUGUUACCAGAACUGGGCCCCCAAACAAGGAUCUGAAGGGAAAUACAACUGUGGUGUUACAGUUGCCAUUGAGGCCACUGGGAGGCAGCAGUGGGUAGGCUUGCCUGAGACAGAGAAACUGAAUUUCAUCUGCUGCGCAUGCACUGGAUGAGUGUCAGUGUCACUUCAGAUGACAAUGUUGUUGACCAGCUUUUAUAAUGAGUUAUGGACACAUGAUAUUGUUCUGGUUAUACAUGCUUUGCUGUUUCAAAAU